RNAcentral lists this long non-coding RNA (1026 nucleotides) under Anser brachyrhynchus (Pink-footed goose). Its description in RNAcentral is "lncRNA (ENSABRG00000006325.1)". Lineage: Eukaryota; Metazoa; Chordata; Aves; Anseriformes; Anatidae. The record is from RNAcentral.
AAAAAUAUGUGGCAAUGUACAGUGCCAGGAUGAUAGCUAGUGUUUGGCAUAAUGCUUAUGACAGUAUGUUUCAAUCAUACGCAGACUUAAGUCUCUUCAGAUCUCACCAUUGAACUGGAUAAGCCUAAAUGAGGUCUGCAUGUUUUUUGCCUUUUCUGUCAUAGAGCAAACUAAAUGAUAAAUAGCGCACAAGAGCAAAGUGAUUGAUAGCAUGGCACUGAAAAUAUCUUUUGCAAAUGUGGAUGCUGAUGGGACUUUUUCUCUUUGCUGUUUUUUCUUACACCUUGUUUUAGGACUGAUCAAGUGCCUGACUCAGAUUGCCAUUUGGAACAUAAGCAAGCAGUGUCCAGAUUUCACCAUGAAGACAGAUUAGUCAGUGCACUCAAGAUUUGGAGGUAGACAUUAUCAGCAACGUUGAUCAGCAACUCACAAAGGCCCUUUGCCUUUCCAAGGCCCUUUUCUGGAAAGCCUCCUGACUUUUUAGUGGAACAUUGUUUCCAGUGCUGAGGCAGCAGAAAAGCUUCCAUGCAGUCAGUCUCGUCACUCAGCAUUGGAAGAAGUCAUAAGAUGUGUGUUUUGUUUUGGAUAUAAAGCUGUAUUGAUGCGCCACUUGUGUUGAGAUCGACUUGUCUGGGGAUCACUUCAGUUCCUUUGCAUGAGAGGGUAAAACCUGAGUAACAGAAGCUUUUGUUUUAACUGGAGAAAAUUAUAGCUGAAAUAGGUGAUGCCUCACUGUGGUCCAUACAGAGUAUGAGAGAGCUCAGUUUCUCUUAGCCAAAUUAAUGAAAUGAAGAAAAGGCUAGAUGCCUUGAAACUGCUAGAUUAGCAGCCCACAGCAGAAAGUGUGGCAAUUCAUUUGUGUGCAUCUGUAGUUUGAGAAGAAGAACUUUAUGUCUGCAAAGUUUGGAUCUUAUUGCUCCAGGACAAACCUGACAAUGAAAAAAACAAAACAAAACAAAACAAAACAAAACAAAACCACCACCAAAGCUCAAUAAACAUUGAACAUUGGCUUCUUGAAGAGUUCUG